GGGUUGUGAGGUUAAGUGACUAAGCGUACACGGUGGAUGCCUAGGCAGUCAGAGGCGAUGAAGGGCGUGCUAAUCUGCGAAAAGCGUCGGUAAGGUGAUAUGAACCGUUACAACCGGCGAUACCCGAAUGGGGAAACCCAGUGUGUUUCGACACACUAUCAUGUCAUGAAUACAUAGUGGCAUGAGGCGAACCGGGGGAACUGAAACAUCUAAGUACCCCGAGGAAAAGAAAUCAACCGAGAUUCCCCCAGUAGCGGCGAGCGAACGGGGAGGAGCCCAGAACCUGAAUCGGCUUGUGUGUUAGUGGAAGCGUCUGGAAAGUCGCGCAGCAAAGGGUGAUAGCCCCGUACACUAAAAUGCACAGGUCGUGAGUUCGAUGAGUAGGGCGGGACACGUGACAUCCUGUCUGAAUAUGGGGGGACCAUCCUCCAAGGCUAAAUACUCCUGACUGACCGAUAGUGAACCAGUACCGUGAGGGAAAGGCGAAAAGAACCCCGGCGAGGGGAGUGAAAUAGAACCUGAAACCGUGUACGUACAAGCAGUGGGAGCACCUUCGUGGUGUGACUGCGUACCUUUUGUAUAAUGGGUCAGCGACUUAUAUUUUGUAGCAAGGUUAACCGUAUAGGGGAGCCGUAGGGAAACCGAGUCUUAACUGGGCGACUAGUUGCAAGGUAUAGACCCGAAACCCGGUGAUCUAGCCAUGGGCAGGUUGAAGGUUGGGUAACACUAACUGGAGGACCGAACCGACUAAUGUUGAAAAAUUAGCGGAUGACUUGUGGCUGGGGGUGAAAGGCCAAUCAAACCGGGAGAUAGCUGGUUCUCCCCGAAAGCUAUUUAGGUAGCGCCUCGUGAACUCAUCUUCGGGGGUAGAGCACUGUUUCGGCUAGGGGGCCAUCCCGGCUUACCAAACCGAUGCAAACUCCGAAUACCGAAGAAUGUUAUCACGGGAGACACACGGCGGGUGCUAACGUCCGUCGUGAAGAGGGAAACAACCCAGACCGCCAGCUAAGGUCCCAAAGUCAUGGUUAAGUGGGAAACGAUGUGGGAAGGCAUAGACAGCCAGGAUGUUGGCUUAGAAGCAGCCAUCAUUUAAAGAAAGCGUAAUAGCUCACUGGUCGAGUCGGCCUGCGCGGAAGAUGUAACGGGGCUAAACCAUGCACCGAAGCUGCGGCAGCGACGCUUAGGCGUUGUUGGGUAGGGGAGCGUUCUGUAAGCCGUUGAAGGUGGCCUGUGAGGGUUGCUGGAGGUAUCAGAAGUGCGAAUGCUGACAUAAGUAACGAUAAAGCGGGUGAAAAGCCCGCUCGCCGGAAGACCAAGGGUUCCUGUCCAACGUUAAUCGGGGCAGGGUGAGUCGACCCCUAAGGCGAGGCUGAAAAGCGUAGUCGAUGGGAAACAGGUUAAUAUUCCUGUACUUGGUGUUACUGCGAAGGGGGACGGAGAAGGCUAGGCUGGCCGGGCGACGGUUGUCCCGGUUUAAGCGUGUAGGGGGUGUGACCUGGUAAAUCCGGUUGCAUAUCAACCCUGAGGCGUGAUGACGAUGCACUACGGUGCAGAAGUAGUUGAUGCCCUGCUUCCAGGAAAAUCCUCUAAGCUCCAGGUAACAUUAAAUCGUACCCCAAACCGACACAGGUGGUCAGGUAGAGAAUACCAAGGCGCUUGAGAGAACUCGGGUGAAGGAACUAGGCAAAAUGGUGCCGUAACUUCGGGAGAAGGCACGCUGGCAUGUAGGUGAAGUCCCUUGCGGAUGGAGCUGAAGCCAGUCGAAGAUACCAGCUGGCUGCAACUGUUUAAUAAAAACACAGCACUGUGCAAACACGAAAGUGGACGUAUACGGUGUGACGCCUGCCCGGUGCUGGAAGGUUAAUUGAUGGGGUCAGCCGCAAGGCGAAGCUCUUGAUCGAAGCCCCAGUAAACGGCGGCCGUAACUAUAACGGUCCUAAGGUAGCGAAAUUCCUUGUCGGGUAAGUUCCGACCUGCACGAAUGGCGUAAUGAUGGCCAGGCUGUCUCCACCCGAGACUCAGUGAAAUUGAACUCGCUGUGAAGAUGCAGUGUACCCGCGGCAAGACGGAAAGACCCCGUGAACCUUUACUAUAGCUUGACACUGAACAUUGAGCCUUGAUGUGUAGGAUAGGUGGGAGGCUUUGAAGCGUGGACGCCAGUCUGCGUGGAGCCAUCCUUGAAAUACCACCCUUUAAUGUUUGAUGUUCUAACUCGGCCCCAUAAUCUGGGGUGAGGACAGUGUCUGGUGGGUAGUUUGACUGGGGCGGUCUCCUCCCAAAGAGUAACGGAGGAGCACGAAGGUUAGCUAAUCACGGUCGGACAUCGUGAGGUUAGUGCAAAGGCAUAAGCUAGCUUGACUGCGAGAGUGACGGCUCGAGCAGGUACGAAAGUAGGUCUUAGUGAUCCGGUGGUUCUGAAUGGAAGGGCCAUCGCUCAACGGAUAAAAGGUACUCCGGGGAUAACAGGCUGAUACCGCCCAAGAGUUCAUAUCGACGGCGGUGUUUGGCACCUCGAUGUCGGCUCAUCACAUCCUGGGGCUGAAGUAGGUCCCAAGGGUAUGGCUGUUCGCCAUUUAAAGUGGUACGCGAGCUGGGUUUAGAACGUCGUGAGACAGUUCGGUCCCUAUCUGCCGUGGGCGUUGGAAGAUUGAGAGGGGUUGCUCCUAGUACGAGAGGACCGGAGUGAACGCACCACUGGUGUUCGGGUUGUCAUGCCAAUGGCAUUGCCCGGUAGCUAAGUGCGGAAAAGAUAAGCGCUGAAAGCAUCUAAGCGCGAAACUUGCCUCAAGAUGAGUCUUCCCUGGGCCUUUAAGGCCCCUGAAGGAACGUUUAAGACUAAGACGUUGAUAGGCUGGGUGUGUAAGUGCAGCGAUGCAUUGAGCUAACCAGUACUAAUGAUCCGUGAGGCUUAACCUUACAACACCGAAGGUGUUU
Molecule: ribosomal RNA, 2934 nt
Filed under: Serratia marcescens
Lineage: Bacteria; Pseudomonadati; Pseudomonadota; Gammaproteobacteria; Enterobacterales; Yersiniaceae
Description: bacterial LSU rRNA
Rfam family: Bacterial large subunit ribosomal RNA
Source: RNAcentral